Molecule: long non-coding RNA, 1546 nt
Filed under: Ananas comosus (pineapple)
Lineage: Eukaryota; Viridiplantae; Streptophyta; Magnoliopsida; Poales; Bromeliaceae
Description: long non-coding RNA (ACOM_LNC005193)
Source: RNAcentral
CCUAGAGCAUAUAAAGCCCGACACCCAUCUCAACCCACAUGCAGAUUUGGAUCCAAAACCAAUAAAAAUUCAUAUAAAUAAACUUUUCAACCCAAAACCCAAAAUCCAUAAACAAAAUCCCAAAAACCCAAAAUCUACAAACAAAAUCUCAAAAAUCCAAAGUCCACAAAUAAAGAUCCAAAACCCAAAGUCCACAAAUAAAGAUCCAAAACCCAAAAUCCACAAUCAAAAUCCCAAAAAUCGAAAGUCCACAAAUAAAGAUCCAAAACCCAAAGUCCACAAAUAACGAUCCAAAAUCCAAAACCCACAAAUAAAAUCCAACAAAAUCUACUAAACCUAUGUCAUCCAAAUACCUCCAACCCAAACCGAAUUCAUGGGCUUUCCAAAUGGGCCCCUUAUUAUGGAUUAAUUCUAUGAAUUAAUUUUUUGGGCUUUCCAAAUGGACCCCUUAUCAUAAAUUAAUUCUACGAAUUUAUUUCAUGGGUUUGCAAAAUAGGUCCCUUAUCAUGAAUUAAUUUUAUGGACUUUCCAAAUGGGCCCCUUAGUAUGAAUUAAUUCUAUGAAUUAAUUUCUUGGGCUUUCCAACUGGACCCCUUAUCAUGAAUUAAUUCUACAAAUUAAUUUCAUGGGUUUGCAAAAUAGGCCCUUAUCACGUAUUAAUUCUAUGAAUUAAUUUCAUGGGCCCUCCUUGUUAUAAAUUAAUUUCAUGAACUAAUGGGCCUUCCAAAUGGCUCCUUAUCAUAAAUUAAUUUUAUUCAAUGAGCUCUCUAAAUGGCCCCUAUCAUGAAUUAAUUUUAUCAAUUAAUUCAAUGGACUUUACAAAUGGGCUCCUAGUAUAAAUUAAUUUCAUGAACCAAUUUCAUGAGAUUCGACUCAAUCGACCGUCAUGUCGCUAAACUAAGCAUCUCAACUUCAGUCGACCAUCAAGUCGCUAAACUGAGCAAAUCAAAUUAAGAUAUGACCAUCAAGUCGUUAAAUUGAAUAUUUGACCAUCAAGUCGUUAAACUGAACAUCUGACCGCUAUAUCAUUAAACUGAGCACCAAACUCAAAUCGACUGCCAUGUCGCUAAACUUAGCAAGUCAAUUUAAAAUCGAUCGCAAUGUCAUUAAACUGAGCAACUCAAUUUAAAAACGACAGCCAUGUCGCUAAACUGAGCACCUCAAUUUCAAUCGACCGCCAAGUCGCUAAACUGAGCAAAUCAAGUUCAGAUUUGACCGUCAAGUCGUUAAACUGAACAAAUGACUGUUAAGUCAUUAAACUGAAUAUCCGACCGCCAUGUCAUUAAACUGAGCACCAAAACUCAAACCGACCGUCAUGUCAUUAAGCUAAGCAUCAAAACUCAAAUUGACCGCCAUGUCGCUAAACUGAGCAACUCAAUUUAAAAUCAACUGCCAUGUCGCUAAACUGAGCAUCUCAACUAAAAUCGACCGCCAUAUCGCUAAACUGAGCAACUCAAUCUAAAAUCGACCGCCAUGUCGCUAAACUUAGCAUCUCAAUUUGAUCCCAACUGAUCAUCAAGUCUAUAAACUGAGUAUUUAAUUUUAU